AGUGAACGCUGGCGGUAGGCCUAACACAUGCAAGUCGAACGGCAGCACAGUAAGAGCUUGCUCUUACGGGUGGCGAGUGGCGGACGGGUGAGGAAUACAUCGGCAUCUACUUUUUCGUGGGGGAUAGCGUAGGGAAACUUACGCUAAUACCGCAUACGACCUACGGGUGAAAGCAGGGGAUCUUCGGACCUUGCGCGAUUGAAUGAGCCGAUGUCGGUUUAGCUAGUUGGCGGGGUAAAGGCCCACCAAGGCGACGAUCCGUAGCUGGUCUGAGAGGAUGAACAGCCACACUGGAACUGAGACACGGUCCAGACUCCGACGGGAGGCAGCAGUGGGGAAUAUUGGACAAUGGGCGCAAGCCUGAUCCAGCCAUACCGCGUGGGUGAAGAAGGCCUUCGGGUUGUAAGGCCCUUUUGUUGGGAAAGAAAAGCAGCAGGUUAAUACCCCGCUGUUCUGACGGUACCCAAAGAAUAAGCACCGGCUAACUUCGUG
This 492-nucleotide ribosomal RNA is filed under the name uncultured bacterium. RNAcentral describes it as "partial 16S ribosomal RNA". It matches the Rfam family "Bacterial small subunit ribosomal RNA", at positions 29 to 507 of the family's 1533-position model. The record is from RNAcentral.